UAGAGUUUGAUCCUGGCUCAGAACGAACGCUGGCGGCAGGCCUAACACAUGCAAGUCGAACGACAUAGUGGCAGACGGGUGAGUAACGCGUGGGAACGUACCUUUCGCUACGGAAUAGCUCUUGGAAACGAGUGGUAAUACCGUAUACGCCCUCCGGGGGAAAGAUUUAUCGGCGAAAGAUCGGCCCGCGUUAGAUUAGGUAGUUGGUGGGGUAAUGGCCUACCAAGCCUACGAUCUAUAGCUGGUCUGAGAGGAUGAUCAGCCACACUGGGACUGAGACACGGCCCAGACUCCUACGGGAGGCAGCAGUGGGGAAUCUUGCACAAUGGGCGAAAGCCUGAUGCAGCCAUGCCGCGUGAAUGAUGAAGGCCUUAGGGUUGUAAAAUUCUUUCGCCAGGGAUGAUAAUGACAGUACCUGGUAAAGAAGCCCCGGCUAACUUCGUGCCAGCAGCCGCGGUAAUACGAAGGGGGCUAGCGUUGUUCGGAAUUACUGGGCGUAAAGCGCACGUAGGCGGACUUUUAAGUCAGAUGUGAAAUCCCGGGGCUCAACCUCGGAACUGCAUUUGAAACUGGAAGUCUGGAGUUCAGGAGAGGUUAGCGGAAUACCGAGUGUAGAGGUGAAAUUCGUAGAUAUUCGGUGGAACACCAGUGGCGAAGGCGGCUAACUGGACUGAUACUGACGCUGAGGUGCGAAAGUGUGGGGAGCAAACAGGAUUAGAUACCCUGGUAGUCCACACCGUAAACGAUGACAGCUAGUUGUUGGCAGGCAUGCCUGUCGGUGA
RNAcentral lists this ribosomal RNA (782 nucleotides) under uncultured Hyphomonas sp. RNAcentral's name for it is "bacterial SSU rRNA". It matches the Rfam family "Bacterial small subunit ribosomal RNA", at positions 1 to 846 of the family's 1533-position model. Lineage: Bacteria; Pseudomonadati; Pseudomonadota; Alphaproteobacteria; Hyphomonadales; Hyphomonadaceae. The record is from RNAcentral.